RNAcentral lists this long non-coding RNA (4500 nucleotides) under Solanum tuberosum (potato). RNAcentral describes it as "long non-coding RNA (STUB_LNC010956)". Lineage: Eukaryota; Viridiplantae; Streptophyta; Magnoliopsida; Solanales; Solanaceae. The record is from RNAcentral.
AAGUAUCAUCUUUUAUGGAUGAGGUCAACUUUAACAUAUCAACUUCUUACAAUAAUAUCUGCUUUCUUUGUUUCUCUUACUGAUUAUUCAAGAGAAUUUUUAGCCUUCUGAUGUUUUUCUUGACCACGUUUUUAUGCUAUCUUGUGCUUUAUGAAAGCAGGUCAAUCAACCAGUUCUUACUUAUCCUGGUGCAUAUAGAAAAGUUACUGUUGAGCUGAAGGUUUAAAUUUCCAUCAAUUUUCUGAGUUACUUCUUUCCUUUGUCUGGUAAAUUUUUUUCCAAUACACAGAUAAUACUAUUACACUGUUGCUAAAAGAUUCUUCUUAUUUCUGAUAUUGUUAUCAGAUUCAUCAUCUGGCUGUUGAUGCUCUACUGAAAAGCAACCAAGUAAACGAAAUGGAAGGAGGCACUCUGUUUGGAUUGGACCAGGACUUGAACCCUACGACGAAUUUUACUAAUGAACAGUACUUCUUUGAUGCAACAACAUCCUGUGCACCAGCAUUUCGUGUACUUAAGCAGUUGAUUCAAAGGUGCCUUACAGAUGCAGUAACAUCAGGAAACAUAUUUGCUGAUGCAAUGCUGCAACAUUUGUACCGAUGGCUCUGCAGGUUGGCUUGCUUCUUUCAGUUUUGUUCACAAUUAUAUUUGAUUGCUAAUGCUACAUUGUCCUUCUAACUAUUGCAGCCCCCGAUCUAGACUGCAUGACCCAGCGCUUCACAGUAUGCUUCACAAGGUAAUUUAUUGAAUAAGAAACUUCUGGGUUGUCUAAAAAGAACAUAAAGAGUUCUAUUUGGAAGUCGAGAUGCAUGACGUGCCUUCGUGCUAUUAGUACUGGGACAUUGAUAUCAUUUAUUUUCUCUGGAAUGUGUCUCAGCAUGCUACUUCAUUCACGCGUGGUUUCUCCAUUUCUUCUUGCAUUCAUCAAAACUGAUGCUUUAAUAUUUUCAUAAUUGGCAGGUUAUGCAAAAGAUGUUUGCAUUGCUUGUGGCUGAACUCCGAAAAUUGGGUGCUGCUAUUGUGUUUGCCAACUUCUCAAAAAUCAUAAUUGACACUGGGAAGUCAGAUAUUUUUGCUGCCAAAGCCUACUGUGAUAAUGUUAUUAAAAAUGUACAAUCAAGGUCAGUCUCUUGAAUCAGAAGUUGUUUACUCAACAUAUAUAUAUAUAUAUAUUUUUAUUUUUUAUUUUUUUUGGUCUUUCUUCCCUUACUCUUAUCUAUCUGCAGAGAAUUGUUUGAGUGGAUUGAACUUGAGCCGUUGCAGUUUUGGCACUCGUUGCUUUUCAUGGAUCAGGUUAGCUGUGGCAGUUGACUUGAUUUGUUCUUGUUAUUAACAUUUUAGCUUUGUGUUCUGUCUUUUCCUUCAUUUCUCCAAGAAACAAAUUUAUGCAUUUAAAAUCACAAAAAGAUCCUUUUGUUGUAUUUAAGUCAAUGCUAAUACAUGCAUUGAGAAUUUUAGAUAGGAGCUGAUCAGUUUGAGUCUCUAGCUGUAUCCUAAUGGUUCACAUUUUCUUCGAAUCAUUAAUUUACUUGAAUCCCUGUUUUGAGUUCACGGUGAUGACUAUGUUGCCCACUAGAAAUCUUGGCAGUAUUUUCAUGCUAUCAAUGCCCUAGCCAGCUUUCUUUGUUCUGGGAAAUGAUUUGUAUUACCUUUUCAACCCAAAUGAUUUUUAGAUAUGAUAAUCUAACUGAAAUUGCAACGCAUCAAAUCAGUAGGUAAAAUCCAUUUGUAAAUAGGAUAGAAAAAAAUGGAUGCUGCUUGCUUCAUGGGGUAGUCCAUUAUUCUGGGUAAAGAGUUCGUAAGCUAACUUUCGUUUGAUGGUUCUGACAACAGAUAUGUUCUUUCUAUCCUCAUUUAUUAAAGUUCCGUCUUACAAUUUUCCUUUUAUGAUAGUACAAUUAUGGUGGAAUUCGAGCUAGACAUAGUGAUGAACCUUUAGAAGUUAACUCAGAACCAGGUGAAGAAAGUGUGUGUGGUGAAUCUCAAAUCGAUAUCGUGUCAAGCUGGAACAUUGCAGAAAAUUUACCGAAGGCAACUCAGGUAUUUCCCCAGCUAGAAACUGUACAGGAACAUUGCUUUUAUUAUAUGAAUGAAGGUGCAACAAGAUACAAGUGGACACCCCGAUCUUGAAAUACCAGUUAACUAGUUUGCACCAUAUUGCAACAGAACACAGUUGAUCCUCGGUCUCCUUGAUAAAAUAUUCUGCCUUAUUAUUCUAUGCUGGUCUUUCAUGUAGGAUCGCUUCAUUUUGAUUGUUUCGGAGUUUAUGUAUGGUCCAUGGAAAUAUGCACAAGAACAAGCUACACAUCGAGUAUCUACUAGCGAUGGUGAUUUAUGUACACCAUCAAUCACUGCUGCACUUGCUGAAACAUUUGAUUUGCAAAUGGCAGAAGAUCUAAAGAAGAAGGUAUCUGCUAGGACUCAUUCAUAGGCAUCCCUUGUCUUCGUCAAUUUUGUGCUGAGUUCUUUAAUGCGUGAGAACUUAACUUUAGAAAAUUCUGCCUGCAGAUUGGAACUUACUUCACUGACAAACUUCUGAAAAUUGUUUGUGACCCUAAUCUUCAAAUGAAAGUGAUGAACAACUCUCAGAAGAUCCAGGAGACACCAGAUGCAAACUCACAAUCUAUUAGCCAUGUCCAAAAGGGGGAUCCAGCUUUAGAGUUCAUUAAACAUGUCUGUGCAGUUUUGGCCCUUGACCAGAAUGUGCAGCAUGAAGUUCUGGUAUUAAAUGUUUUUCUAGCUUCCCUUACUAAUGAACAAAAUAUGUAUUAGUAAAACCUAUUGACAUCGUUUUUUCCGUCCGGCACUGAAAGUGUAGUCUAGCGUACAGAGGGACCCCGGUUGCUGUAUAGUAACCACACGUACAUCGAUUGCUUAGUCUUAUGUCUCCCAUCCAAUAAGUCUCAUGAAGGCUCUGCAUAACACAUAAUGCUAAAUUAUUUAAUGAUACCUAUUGAAAUGUGGUGUUUUAAAGUAGCGUGUGACAGUAUAUAUGUUGGAUUUCACUAGUAUUGAUUCUUCUGCAACAAUAACAUUUAAUUGCAGCUCGCCAUUAAUUAGUUUUAUUGGUUCUUAUUAUGCAGAUCAUGAGGAAAAAUUUAUUAAAACUUGUUCGUGUGAGGGAAUUUGCUCCGGAGGCAGAAUUUCGUAGUCUUUCUGUAUCAUAUACCCUUCCAAAUGUCAUUUGCAGGUAAAUGUAGGGGAAAUAGGAGUUACUUUCACCUGAAACAUGAGCAGGUGGGAGUAUCUGCCACUGCUGGGUUUUGUCUUCUGUAGAAUAUCCAGGAUAUUAGUUGCUUUCUAAUUUCCAUGAUCUGUUGCUUUCAGUUACUGCAAUGACUGCAGAGACCUUGACUUGUGUCGAGACAGAGCUUUGAUUUCUCAGGAGUGGCGUUGUACUGUGCCCCAGUGUGGGCAACCUUAUGAUCGUGAAGCAAUGGAAAAUGCUCUUGUUCAAAUUGUUCGGCAGAGAGAGAGGCUAUACCAUCUUCAGGAUCUAGUAUGCCUAAAAUGCCACCAGAUUAAAGCUGCACAUUUAUCAGAUCACUGUGCUUGUGCCGGAUCAUUUAGCUGCAAGGAAGAUGUCUCAGAUUUCCGCAAUAAAAUGCAAGUCUUCUUGAACAUAGCCGUAAAUCAAAAGUUUCAAUUGCUCCAAGAAUGCACUUCUUGGAUUUUGGAAGCCAGAUAACUACAUAAGUGCACCUCAUUAUCAGUGACAAAUCGUUUGAGCACUUAACAUUUGCUGGCUGCUCUGCAUGGUGCAAGGCUGCCUCAUGGCGUCCAAAACAAGAUUUACUUUUUAUUGAUACACAAUUACGUCCAGGUAUUUGAGGAGUCCAUGAAAUGAGAGCUGAUCUGUUUUAGAAAUUCAGCUGUCUGCAUGGGCUUACGUAAAAGUUCCCUCGAGGAGUGCCAGUUAUCUAUACAGCUGCACCCUUUCUUCGGAGAGGAAAAAAAAGGAUUCGUAUUGCAUCCGCUAUACCCAUCCUUAGUUCCAGAUUUGCUGGUUUGGUGGAGAACUGAUUGCUAUAUACAGAGAGCACGCAGAUAAUUACUAAUAUGUGGCCACCAAUUCAACAUCUUAACAAGAUUUUCUGUAUCAUGCACUAGAAAUGAUCGUCUAUUUUUUUAAUUUAUGCUACAAGAGUUGAGCUGUAUGAUGUACAUAUUGCAAUAACAGUGAAAUGUACAUAGUCAUCUUUCUUUUAUACUUUGAUUAGUAAACGACGAUGAAGUUAACUGUAUCAAACCUUGUUGGUUGUUAAAAUUAGGUGUAAGUUGCGUAGUUUCAGAAUCAAACCAAACAAUUGGUGAGAUUUCGAUACUCAUGUGGCUCUAAUCUAUAUUUAGUUUAUGGAACGACUCACUAAUCUAUAUCUUCAUGCACUACUGGGCUCUAGACCUCUAGUUUGAACCCUGUCUCAUACAAGAUUACAGUACAGUGGACUGAUUAUCUUGUCACAAUUUUGAUUUGUAUCUGUUGUGACAUUGUUACAUCACAAU